Molecule: ribosomal RNA, 251 nt
Filed under: uncultured prokaryote
Description: partial 16S rRNA
Rfam family: Bacterial small subunit ribosomal RNA
Source: RNAcentral
ACGUAGGGGGCGAGCGUUAUCCGGAAUUACUGGGCGUAAAGGGCGCGUAGGCGGCUGUCUAAGUCGGGAGUGAAAGUCCUGCGCUCAAGGCUGGAAUUGCUUUGGAGACUGACUGGCUUGAGUGCUGAAGAGGUAAGUGGAAUUCCCAGUGUAGUGGUGAAAUGCGUAGAGAUCGGGAGGAACACCAGCGGCGCAGGCGACUUACUGGGCAGUAUCUGACGUUGAAGCGCGAAAGCGUGGGGAGCGAACAG